AAUACCUUUAUUUUAUUUUUAUGUGGUGCUGAGAAUCAAACCUAGUGUCUCAUGCAUGUUAGGCGAGCACUUUACCACUGAGCCACAACCCAGUCCCUAAAAGGUCUUUUAAUAGACCACAAAUUCUAGAGUUCAUCUGUGCAUACAUCAUACAUUUAUAACUAUGUUUGAUAUCAAAUGUUAUGUUUUAUAUUCAAUUGGUAUAAUCAGUGUUCACUUGAAGGACUUUUUCUUGGAAAGGGAAGAAGAAUGGGAAAAAGGGGGAAAAAGAGUGAAGAACAUGGAAAAAUAAUGAAUGGCUAUGUUAAUGAAAAGCCUGCUAUUGCUAUUGUUAGUGUUUUCAGGUUGAAGAAGGCAAAAAUAUCACCUUCAGUCAUUUCAGGUGAAAUUAAUACUGCUAGUCUAAAAGUUGUGAUUAGUCUAACUUUCUCAAGAGUUGUUAGAAAAUGUUUAUUACUGAUUUUCUGGAUGAACAUUUCUCCAACUAUGAUUUAAGCAUCACCAACUGUGUUAGCUAAUUGCAUUGAGGCAUUUGAUGCUCCUCCCUAAUCUGUUGAAUUGAAAUUCCUAGAUGCCUAGAGAUUUAAAAAAAAACUCCUUAGACAAUUCUAAUCACCACAAAGAUUGAGACCUAUUGUCCUGCAUAAAUAGUUGGGUAAAAAUUUGAAAUCCUAAAAGUAAGGCAAAUGUAAAGCUGGAUGUUUGAUUAAGGUAGCAUGUAUCACUGAAUACACCUAAAAUAAUUCUGAUAUUAAAAACUAACAUUUUAAAGUAACUUGUUUUAAAUCUAAAACUCUAAAGAGUGUAGGUCAGUGUAGAAUGCAUAUGUACAAAGUUCCUAGGUUCAAUACCCAACACCAAAAAGCAAAACAAAACAAAAAUACCUCUUAAGAGUAAUAGCAUGUGAACAGCUAAUUUGUACAUUAUUUCAGUAUCAUUCAUAAAUUGCUUUUGAUUCCUUUGACUUUGAAGCAAUUCCAUAAAUCUGCUUUUGACUAUAACUUGGUAUGUGCCUUUGGAUUAAGAAUUGGAUUUUUGAACUCUUUUAGAGAACUUUUAAAGUGGUGCUAUCUUUUCAUUAUUCCUAUGUCACUGGGUUGGGCCCACAUAUUUUUAAAUAUGAAACGGUGCAAAUUAAAAAUUGCUAUUCAUCUCUAUCCAUCAAGUUAACUAUUUUUUUUUUUGAGUUGGUAGUAGCGGAGGGAUGAGAUGUGAAAGAAGUGACCUGAAAAUAUGAAACUAAUGCUAGUUGAAUAUGGAGAAAGUAUCAAG
RNAcentral lists this long non-coding RNA (1272 nucleotides) under Marmota monax (woodchuck). The record is from RNAcentral. Lineage: Eukaryota; Metazoa; Chordata; Mammalia; Rodentia; Sciuridae.